GACGAACGCUGGCGGCGUGCCUAACACAUGCAAGUCGAACGGGGAUACUAAAGGAAGUUUUCGGAUGGAAUUUGGUAUCUUAGUGGCGGACGGGUGAGUAACGCGUGAGCAAUCUGCCUUUCAGAGAGGGAUAACGGCUGGAAACGGCCGCUAAUACCACAUGAUAUAUCGGGGUGACAUCGCCUUGAUAUCAAAGGAGCAAUCCGCUGAAAGAUGAGCUCGCGUCCGAUUAGAUAGUUGGCGGGGUAACGGCCCACCAAGUCUGCGAUCGGUAGCCGGACUGAGAGGUUGAACGGCCACAUUGGGACUGAGAUACGGCCCAGACUCCUACGGGAGGCAGCAGUGGGGAAUAUUGGUCAAUGGGGGAAACCCUGAACCAGCAACGCCGCGUGAAGGAAGAAGGCCUUCGGGUUGUAAACUUCUUUGACGAGGGACGAUAAUGACGGUACCUCGAAAACAAGCCACGGCUAACUACGUG
RNAcentral lists this ribosomal RNA (478 nucleotides) under uncultured organism. RNAcentral describes it as "bacterial SSU rRNA". It matches the Rfam family "Bacterial small subunit ribosomal RNA", at positions 28 to 507 of the family's 1533-position model. The record is from RNAcentral.